UAGCUUGCUACAUGACCUAGCGGCGGACGGGUGAGUAAUACUUAGGAAUCUGCCUAUUAGUGGGGGACAACGUUCCGAAAGGAGCGCUAAUACCGCAUACGCCCUACGGGGGAAAGCAGGGGAUCUUCGGACCUUGCGCUAAUAGAUGAGCCUAAGUCGGAUUAGCUAGUUGGUAGGGUAAAGGCCUACCAAGGCGACGAUCUGUAGCGGGUUUGAGAGGAUGAUCCGCCACACUGGGACUGAGACACGGCCCAGACUCCUACGGGAGGCAGCAGUGGGGAAUAUUGGACAAUGGGCGCAAGCCUGAUCCAGCCAUGCCGCGUGUGUGAAGAAGGCCUUAUGGUUGUAAAGCACUUUAAGCGAGGAGGAGGCUUACCUGGAUAAUACCUAGGAUAAGUGGACGUUACUCGCAGAAUAAGCACCGGCUAACUCUGUGCCAGCAGCCGCGGUAAUACAGAGGGUGCAAGCGUUAAUCGGAAUUACUGGGCGUAAAGCGCGCGUAGGUGGCCAUUUAAGUCAAAUGUGAAAUCCCCGAGCUUAACUUGGGAAUUGCAUUCGAUACUGGGUGGCUAGAGUAUAGGAGAGGAAGGUAGAAUUCCAGGUGUAGCGGUGAAAUGCGUAGAGAUCUGGAGGAAUACCGAUGGCGAAGGCAGCCUUCUGGCCUAAUACUGACACUGAGGUGCGAAAGCAUGGGGAGCAAACAGGAUUAGAUACCCUGGUAGUCCAUGCCGUAAACGAUGUCUACUAGCCGUUGGGUCCUUUGAGGACUUAGU
This 773-nucleotide ribosomal RNA is filed under the name Acinetobacter nectaris. Its description in RNAcentral is "bacterial SSU rRNA". It matches the Rfam family "Bacterial small subunit ribosomal RNA", at positions 76 to 844 of the family's 1533-position model. The record is from RNAcentral. Lineage: Bacteria; Pseudomonadati; Pseudomonadota; Gammaproteobacteria; Moraxellales; Moraxellaceae.